RNAcentral lists this unclassified non-coding RNA (268 nucleotides) under fungal sp. Its description in RNAcentral is "partial internal transcribed spacer region". The stretch from base 1 to 46 matches the Rfam family "Eukaryotic small subunit ribosomal RNA", at positions 1786 to 1831 of the family's 1831-position model. Lineage: Eukaryota; Fungi. The record is from RNAcentral.
AAGUCGUAACAAGGUUUCCGUAGGUGAACCUGCGGAAGGAUCAUUAAAUUCAGUAGCUUGCUACUGUUAGGGGGGUUCUAUUAGUCUGUAUAGUAUCACUACUGAUGAGCAGCACGACCCUCUGUCUAUACCCUUGUCUUUUGCGCACUCAUGUUUCCUCGGCGGCUUGAUACCCGCCGGCUGGAUCAAUCUAUAACCUUUUUAAUUUUCAAUCAGCGUCUGAAAAACCUAAUAAUUACAACUUUCAACAACGGAUCUCUUGAUUCUG